AGCUCUUCCAUGGUGUAUUGACAUGUCUCCAAAUGGGACUUAAUGAUGUUCUGUGCAAUUCGGUCUGUGAGAAAAGAUAUCAAUUCAAAGGUCUUUUGAUCACAACUUAGGGGUUUUACAAGUUGGAAACCAUUCAAAGGAGGAUGGACGGAGAGAAGAGGCUAGUGCACGGUUCUGAUUUGACAGUGGUUGUUAACUGCAUGUUUGGCUGGGUCAUUUCACUUAGUGAAAGCCCCGAGUAUCGUCCUGCUCUCCAGGAGGGAAGUGUGCUGGCUACUGCCAUGGACAAGUUAUUCAGCAUCAUUCAGAAUUGCUUAGUUGCUUCCAAGUCCCCUCCUCUCUUCUACCCUACUCUUAUCUGUGUGACGUGGCUAUAACAAGGGGGGAAUAUUAAUGCACAUGACCAAAGCUCCCUGGAAGAUGAGAGAACCAUAGUCUUUAAAAGUCAUUUGAUCCAAUUGUCUUAUUUUUCAGAUGGUGAGACAGAAUCUCAGACAGCUGGACUAAUUUUGAAUACAUUCACAUGGCUAGUAUGCAGAGUUAGGACCCCCAAUCUCAAUGUACUUUCCCUAAAUUGCCUGCAAAGGGUGUGUGGUUGGGGUGGGGGUGAGAGAGGGGUUAGAUGACAAUGAAAGUUCACAAGAUGUCUCCUCUCAAGGCAAGGAAGAAAGAGCUAAACACUGAAUUUUCCUUUUCCCAUAUUGUUCAAGUAAUUUUUCUUGCAAGUUUGGUCUACUUCUAUCUGUUUUAAUGAUGUAUCGGACAGUUACCUCUAAAUGGAAUGCCUACCUGUAUUUGAUACAGGUUCUAUCACAGGACACAGGAAAUAUAUAGCAAGAGUUAAGUUCUAUUCUCUGCACCAUUUCUGCAUGGGUAGUUAGAUGUGCAUAAUAGAUUUAAACAGUAUAAAAUAUUUAUCCUUAAAAGCAUAUGCCAUUAAAGAUGCUGCUUUAAGACCAAAGCAUCUGCUUGGGGUUCUUAAUAAGCCACAAUUGAAGCACCACCACUUUUAAUAGAAUUCUGCAAAAUAAAAC
RNAcentral lists this long non-coding RNA (1034 nucleotides) under Homo sapiens (human). RNAcentral describes it as "HSALNT0150410". The record is from RNAcentral. Lineage: Eukaryota; Metazoa; Chordata; Mammalia; Primates; Hominidae.